AGAGUUUGAUCAUGGCUCAGAACGAACGCUGGCGGCAGGCUUAACACAUGCAAGUCGAACGCACCUUUCGGGGUGAGUGGCAGACGGGUGAGUAACGCGUGGGAACGUGCCCUUCAGUUCGGAAUAACCCAGGGAAACUUGGGCUAAUACCGGAUACGUGCGAGAGCAGAAAGAUUUAUCGCUGAAGGAUCGGCCCGCGUCUGAUUAGCUAGUUGGUGGGGUAAUGGCCCACCAAGGCGACGAUCAGUAGCUGGUCUGAGAGGAUGAUCAGCCACAUUGGGACUGAGACACGGCCCAAACUCCUACGGGAGGCAGCAGUGGGGAAUAUUGGACAAUGGGCGCAAGCCUGAUCCAGCCAUGGCCGCGUGAGUGAUGACGGCCUUAGGGUUGUAAAGCUCUUUCGUCCGGGACGAUAAUGACGGUACCGGAAGAAGAAGCCCCGGCUAACUUCGUGCCAGCAGCCGCGGUAAUACGAAGGGGGCUAGCGUUGUUCGGAAUCACUGGGCGUAAAGGGCGCGUAGGCGGCUUUGUAAGUCGGGGGUGAAAGCCUGUGGCUCAACCACAGAAUUGCCUUCGAUACUGCAUGGCUUGAGACCGGAAGAGGUUAGUGGAACUGCGAGUGUAGAGGUGAAAUUCGUAGAUAUUCGCAAGAACACCAGUGGCGAAGGCGGCUGACUGGUCCGGAUCUGACGCUGAGGCGCGAAAGCG
This 708-nucleotide ribosomal RNA is filed under the name uncultured bacterium. Its description in RNAcentral is "bacterial SSU rRNA". It matches the Rfam family "Bacterial small subunit ribosomal RNA", at positions 8 to 761 of the family's 1533-position model. The record is from RNAcentral.